RNAcentral lists this ribosomal RNA (253 nucleotides) under uncultured bacterium. Its description in RNAcentral is "partial 16S ribosomal RNA". It matches the Rfam family "Bacterial small subunit ribosomal RNA", at positions 524 to 776 of the family's 1533-position model. The record is from RNAcentral.
UACGUAGGGUGCGAGCGUUGUCCGGAUUUACUGGGCGUAAAGAGCGCGCAGGCGGUCGAUCAAGUCGAGUGUGAAAGCCCCCGGCUCAACUGGGGAGGGUCAUUCGAUACUGAUCGACUCGAAGGCAGGAGAGGGUAGUGGAAUUCCCGGUGUAGUGGUGAAAUGCGUAGAUAUCGGGAGGAACACCAGUGGCGAAGGCGACUACCUGGCCUGUUCUUGACGCUGAGGCGCGAAAGCUAGGGGAGCAAACAGG